Molecule: ribosomal RNA, 471 nt
Filed under: Pseudomonas sp. NZWT6
Lineage: Bacteria; Pseudomonadati; Pseudomonadota; Gammaproteobacteria; Pseudomonadales; Pseudomonadaceae
Description: bacterial SSU rRNA
Rfam family: Bacterial small subunit ribosomal RNA
Source: RNAcentral
AGAGUUUGAUCCUGGCUCAGAUUGAACGCUGGCGGCAGGCCUAACACAUGCAAGUCGAGCGGAUGAAAGGAGCUUGCUCCUGGAUUCAGCGGCGGACGGGUGAGUAAUGCCUAGGAAUCUGCCUGGUAGUGGGGGACAACGUUUCGAAAGGAACGCUAAUACCGCAUACGUCCUACGGGAGAAAGCAGGGGACCUUCGGGCCUUGCGCUAUCAGAUGAGCCUAGGUCGGAUUAGCUAGUUGGUGAGGUAAUGGCUCACCAAGGCGACGAUCCGUAACUGGUCUGAGAGGAUGAUCAGUCACACUGGAACUGAGACACGGUCCAGACUCCUACGGGAGGCAGCAGUGGGGAAUAUUGGACAAUGGGCGAAAGCCUGAUCCAGCCAUGCCGCGUGUGUGAAGAAGGUCUUCGGAUUGUAAAGCACUUUAAGUUGGGAGGAAGGGCAGUAAAUUAAUACUUUGCUGUUUUGACC